Molecule: unclassified non-coding RNA, 157 nt
Filed under: uncultured Ascomycota
Lineage: Eukaryota; Fungi; Ascomycota
Description: sequence contains ITS1
Source: RNAcentral
UCAAUUCUCAACACGGGGGCGUAGAAAUACGCUUCUACGGUUGUUACACCCUUUGUCUUUUGCGUACUGUAUGUUUCCUCGGUGGGCUCGCCCGCCGAUAGGACAUUUCAAACCCAUUGUAAUUGCAAUCAGCGUCAGAAAAAAACUAUAAUAGUUA